GGUGGCAUGGCCAAGUGGUAAGGCAGAAGCCUGCAAAGCUUCCAUCCCCAGUUCGAAUCUGGGUGCCACCU
Waddlia chondrophila is the source of this 71-nucleotide transfer RNA. It matches the Rfam family "tRNA". Rfam says of the family: Transfer RNA (tRNA) molecules are approximately 80 nucleotides in length. The record is from Rfam. Lineage: Bacteria; Pseudomonadati; Chlamydiota; Chlamydiia; Parachlamydiales; Waddliaceae.